AGAGUUUGAUCCUGGCUCAGAACGAACGCUGGCGGCAGGCUUAACACAUGCAAGUCGAGCGGGCGCUUUCGGGCGUCAGCGGCGGACGGGUUAGUAACGCGUGGGAACGUGCCCUUUGCUCUGGAAUAGCCCUGGGAAACUGGGGGUAAUACCGGAUGUGCCCUGAGGGGGAAAGAUUUAUCGGCAAGGGAUCGGCCCGCGUCUGAUUAGGUAGUUGGUGAGGUAACGGCUCACCAAGGCAUUGACGGGUAGCUGGUCUGAGAGGACGACCAGCCACACUGGAACUGAGACACGGUCCAGACACCUACGGGUGGCAGCAGUCGAGAAUUUUUCACAAUGGGGGCAACCCUGAUGGAGCGACGCCGCGUGGAGGAUGAAGGCUUUCGGGUUGUAAACUCCUGUCAUUUGGGAACAAGGUGCAUCGAUUAACUGUCGAUGCAUUGAUAGUACCAGAAGAGGAAGAGACGGCUAACUCUGUGCCAGCAGCCGCGGUAAUACAGAGGUCUCAAGCGUUGUUCGGAUUCAUUGGGCGUAAAGGGUGCGUAGGUGGCGGGGUAAGUCAGGUGUGAAAUUUCGGAGCUUAACUCCGAAACUGCAUUUGAUACUGCCUUGCUUGAGGACUGGAGAGGAGAUUGGAAUUCACGGUGUAGCAGUGAAAUGCGUAGAUAUCGUGAGGAAGACCAGUGGCGAAGGCGGAUCUCUGGACAGUUCCUGACACUGAGGCACGAAGGCUAGGGGAGCAAACGGGAUUAGAUACCCCCGUAGUCC
Molecule: ribosomal RNA, 768 nt
Filed under: uncultured Spartobacteria bacterium
Lineage: Bacteria; Pseudomonadati; Verrucomicrobiota; Spartobacteria
Description: bacterial SSU rRNA
Rfam family: Bacterial small subunit ribosomal RNA
Source: RNAcentral